Molecule: long non-coding RNA, 1470 nt
Organism: Eriocheir sinensis (Chinese mitten crab)
Lineage: Eukaryota; Metazoa; Arthropoda; Malacostraca; Decapoda; Varunidae
Exons: 4
Source: RefSeq, a predicted model, not a curated record
AAUGCAGAUGAUAUACCUUGACCUACAGCAAUAACAAAUUCUAGGAGUACUCUCGACACCAUCCUUUGCAUUCUAACUAACCUCACCUAUUCCAUCCCUAUCUCAACCUAUUUCUGUGUAUGUCGUGGUAAUAGGCUUUUUCUCAACCUGUCCGCUGAGAUUGACAUGGAUUUGGCCUUCACUGGUAGCCUGGUAACAUACAUUCCCAGGUCUUUCUCUGCCUCUGUGGUGGAUAGUGGAGUGUUUCCCAUGUGGUAUUGGUGUGCUGGAUAUCCCUUCACUGGUAGCCUGGUAACAUACAUUCCCAGGUCUUUCUCUGCCUCUGUGGUGGAUAGUGGAGUGUUUCCCAUGUGGUAUUGGUGUGCUGGAUAUCCCUUCACUGGUAGCCUGGUAACAUACACUCCCAGGUUUUUCUCUGCCUCUGUGGUGGAUAGUGGAGUGUUUCCCAUGUGGUAUUGGUGUGCUGGAUAUCCCUUCACUGGUAGCCUGGUAACAUGCACUCCCAGGUCUUUCUCUGCCUCUGUGGUGGAUAGUGGAGUGUUUCCCAUGUGGUAUUGGUGUGCUGGAUAUCCCUUCACUGGUAGCCUGGUAACACACACUCCCAGGUCUUUCUCUGCCUCUGUGGUGGAUAGUGGAGUGUCUCCCAUGUGGUAUUGGUGUGCUGGAUAUCCCUUCACUGGUAGUCUGGUAACACACACUCCCAGGUCUUUCUCUGCCUCUGUGGUGGAUAGUGGAGUGUUUCCCAUGUGGUAUUGGUGUGCUGGAUAUCCCUUCACUGGUAGUCUGGUAACAUACACUCCCAGGUUUUUCUCUGCCUCUGUGGUGGAUAGUGGAGUGUUUCCCAUGUGGUAUUGGUGUGCUGGAUAUCCCUUCACUGGUAGUCUGGUAACAUACACUCCCAGGUCUUUCUCUGCCUCUGUGGUGGAUAGUGGAGUGUUUCCCAUGUGGUAUUGGUGUGCUGGAUAUCCCCUCCCAAGGUGCAGGACUUUACAUUUUUCUUCAUUGAAUUGUAGCAGCCACUUUUUGUUCCAUUCCUGUAGCUUGGUGAGGGUCUGACUGUGGGAAGUCUGCAGUCAAGGGGUCAACUGUCUCAUUCUCAAGGGCCAGGGAGACAAAGAUGGGCACUGAGGCGGUGUGCAGCUCACUAGACCCCCUAGACUUUACCUUUCUACUCCUUUCUUGAACCCUUUGUAGUAUGAGAUCAAAUACUUUAUUGAUGCAAGUGUUUAUUGAGCUUGUAACUCCAUUCUCAUUUGUGAAAUAAGAUUAGAACUUGCUUAGAAAUGGGAGUGCUGUUUUAAGUGUGUGUGUGUGUGUGUGUGUGUAGCUCUGUUCUGUCCAACUUCCUAAUGCAAGAGUUAACCAGCAUCCUCACUCUUUCAUUCCUGUGCUGUCCAGCUUCCUAAUGCAAGAGUUAACCAGCAUCCUCACUCUUUCAUCCCUGUGCUGUCCAACUUCCUAAUGCAAGAG